Molecule: ribosomal RNA, 253 nt
Filed under: uncultured bacterium
Lineage: Bacteria
Description: partial 16S ribosomal RNA
Rfam family: Bacterial small subunit ribosomal RNA
Source: RNAcentral
UACGAAGGGGGCUAGCGUUGCUCGGAAUCACUGGGCGUAAAGCGCACGUAGGCGGAUUGUUAAGUCAGGGGUGAAAUCCUGGAGCUCAACUCCAGAACUGCCUUUGAUACUGUCGAUCUUGAGUCCGGGAGAGGUGAGUGGAACUGCGAGUGUAGAGGUGAAAUUCGUAGAUAUUCGCAAGAACACCAGUGGCGAAGGCGGCUCACUGGCCCGGUACUGACGCUGAGGCACGAAAGCGUGGGGAGCAAACAGG